UGGUGGAGUGAUUUGUCUGGUUAAUUCCGUUAACGAACGAGACCUCGACCUGCUAAAUAGAUCGCACGAAUUCUCCGGAAUUCGUCGAGGCUUCUUAGAGGGACUGUGAGUGCAAACUCAAGGAAGUUCGAGGCAAUAACA
This 141-nucleotide ribosomal RNA is filed under the name uncultured eukaryote. RNAcentral's name for it is "partial 18S ribosomal RNA". It matches the Rfam family "Eukaryotic small subunit ribosomal RNA", at positions 1299 to 1458 of the family's 1831-position model. The record is from RNAcentral.